This 70-nucleotide transfer RNA is filed under the name Bathypolypus ergasticus. RNAcentral's name for it is "tRNA-Asp". Lineage: Eukaryota; Metazoa; Mollusca; Cephalopoda; Octopoda; Octopodidae. The record is from RNAcentral.
AAAAAGUUAGUUAAACAUAUAACAUAAAUUUGUCAAAUUUAAAUUACUAGUAUAACAAUAGUACUCUUUA